UAAUGUUACAGCACAUUUUGUGACUGUCUUACUCGCGAAAAUGCUAAUUAUUAGUAAGAGUACUGUAAGUGCUCCGUUUCGUUGAGGCAUCCUGUUUAGGAUGUUAUAACUUAU
This 114-nucleotide small RNA is filed under the name Bacillus sp. SJS. Its description in RNAcentral is "DUF3800-I RNA". It matches the Rfam family "DUF3800-I RNA". Rfam says of the family: Actinobacteria, Firmicutes, Fusobacteria, Proteobacteria (1 example), Tenericutes (2 examples). Terminator (Clostridia) Lineage: Bacteria; Bacillati; Bacillota; Bacilli; Caryophanales; Bacillaceae. The record is from Rfam by way of RNAcentral.